RNAcentral lists this long non-coding RNA (2335 nucleotides) under Sus scrofa (pig). Its description in RNAcentral is "lncRNA (ENSSSCG00000053611.1, ENSSSCG00110009582.1)". The record is from RNAcentral. Lineage: Eukaryota; Metazoa; Chordata; Mammalia; Artiodactyla; Suidae.
AUGGAACUACAGACUCUCAUACUAAGUGAAGUUAAGUCAGAAAGAGAAAGACAAAUACCAUCUGAUAUCACUUAUAUCUGGAAUCUAAUAUACAACAUAAAUGAACUUUUCUGCAGAAAAGAAACUCGUGGACUUGGAAACAGACUUGUGGUUGCCAAGGGGGAUGGACUGGGAAUUUGGGGUUAAUAGGUGCAAACUAUUGCCUUUGGAAUGGAUAAGCAAUGAGAUCCUGCUAUAUAGCGCUGGGAACUACAUCUAGUCACUUACGAUGGAGCAUGAUAAUGUGAGAAAAAAGAAUAUAUACAUGUAUGUCUGAUUGGGUCACCUUGCUGUACAGUAGGAAAUUGACAUAACAUUGUAAACCAGCUAUAAUGGAAAAAACAAAAAUCAUUAUAAAAAAAUAAAACUUACUUUUUGUAUAAAAGUGGUACAGAACUGACGUUUCCUGAGGCACAGUGGGUUAUGGAUCCAGCAGUGUCACUGCUGUAGCUUGGGUUGCUGCUUCAGCGAGGAUUCGAGCCCUGGCCCAGAAACUUCCAUAUGCCAAGGGUGUGACCAUUAAAAAAAAGGAUGUGGGAGUUCCCUUUGUGGCUCAGUGGUUAAUGAAACCGACUAGCAUCCAUCCAUGAGAACUCGGGUCUGAUCCCUGGCCUCACUCCGUGGGUUAAGGAUCUGGCGUUGCCAUGAGCUGUGGUGUAGGUUGCAGAUGUGGCUCAGAUCCCACGUUGUUGUGGCUGUGGUGUAGGCCAGCAGCUAUAGCUCCAAUUCGAUCCCUACCCUGGGAACAUCCAUAUGCCCCUGGAGUGGCCUUAAACAACAACAACAAAAAAAUGAUGGGGCAAAAGGAAUUAAGCCUUGUUGAGGGCCCCCUAUAGGUCUGGCACUGGGCUAAGAAAUGCAGGCACUUUGUCCCACCACACACCCACUGCAUAAUGAGUCUUUGGAUAACUGGUAUAAACUUCAUGAAGGCAGAAAGGGCUUGAUAACCAGCAGGUCUCCAGGUUCUCAAAUAGCACCUGGUACACAUUCCGUAAAUAUCUGUUGGCUGUAGGGAUGAAUGAAUGGAAAGCCAGCUGGCUGGUGGAUAAAUGAACAGCUAUUUGUAAUAACAAUAUUGUUCUAGCCCUGCAGAAGGAAAGAGAGCCUGGCAGCUUAGGAGACAGGGAGCAAGAAAUGGUCUCCAAGCCACUGUAUUCCCUUCCGCAAAUACAAGAUAUUACAGGAGAGGGGGCAAAGCAUGGGCUUCAUCGCCAGACCUGGAUGGGAUGCCAAGUUUCAGGCUUCCCUUUCAUAUGUCCCUGGACAGAUUACUAGCCCAUGGCGGAAAUAUAGAGACCAAUUCUUUAAUUUUGAAGUUGUAAAAAAGCUUAACUAAAAUAACAUCUAUAGAGGACCUGGCAAGUAGCUAACACACAAGUAGUUAAUAAAUAUAAACCUCCCUGUUACUGGGCCAAAAGAAAUGACCCCAGUGCUGACAGUCUUGGUCUUAAGGAUAAGGCCCAAGGGAGGGGUCGCAGCAAAAGGAAUUUUCGAGUAGUUCAUGGCAGGACAGCUCUUGAAUCACUGUGUAACUAUCAAUCCAAAGGCCCAGUUCAUAUUAUCAUGUUGGAGAAGUUAACAAUCAUAGCAUGAGUCUACAUACCUAGAAUUCAAAAGGAUACAGGACUCUGCAAGUACAAGGAAAUAUAAAACAAAACAACUAGGCUAUACCCGUGCUUGACAAUUUCCAACUUGCCAAAAUUGGGCACGCCUUUCUUUGCUAUUCUGUCAAAGCUACUUUAUUGACAAUAUUUGAAGUAUAUUUCAUUGAUUUGAUGAAAUUAUGCAACAUCAAAAAUACUAUGUGAGAAAAAUUUCCUAAAGGUCCCAUCCAGGCUCCAUCUCUAAGAGAACAAGAUAAUUGCACAUUUGCCUAUAAUUAUGCCCUCAUGUGUUUUCUCUUUCAUAUUUAAUAGCAUCAUAUCAAUGCAGCCCAAUUAUAAAAGUGACUAACACUCCCAAACUUCUUAUCCAUAACAGAAAAGGUGGAAAUAAUUUUUUAAUAAGUUCUAAUAUGUUUCCUCUUUUGAGACAGGAGCAAAAUAAACUACAAAUUUUCUUAACUACCUUUCUAGUUAUUACUUAUCUAUCAGUGGAAACGAAUCUGACCAGGAACCAUGAGGUGGCGGGUUCAAUCCCUGGCCUUGAUCAGUGGGUUAAGGAUCUGGCAUUGUCGUGAGCUGUGGUGGAGGUUGCAGACAUGGCUCAGGUCUGGCGUUGCAGUGGCUCUGGUGUAGGCCAGUGGCUACAGCUCCGAUUCGACCGCUAGCCUGGGAACUUCCAUAUGCUGUGGGUG